CUUUAGCUUAAACUUUAGAGCAUUAAUUUGAAGCAUUAAGGGUACUUUUUAGUAGG
This 56-nucleotide transfer RNA is filed under the name Megalobenedenia derzhavini. Its description in RNAcentral is "tRNA-Phe". Lineage: Eukaryota; Metazoa; Platyhelminthes; Monogenea; Capsalidea; Capsalidae. The record is from RNAcentral.